This 1322-nucleotide ribosomal RNA is filed under the name uncultured Burkholderia sp. RNAcentral describes it as "bacterial SSU rRNA". It matches the Rfam family "Bacterial small subunit ribosomal RNA", at positions 73 to 1338 of the family's 1533-position model. Lineage: Bacteria; Pseudomonadati; Pseudomonadota; Betaproteobacteria; Burkholderiales; Burkholderiaceae. The record is from RNAcentral.
CGGGUGCUUGCACCUGGUGGCCAGUGGCGAACGGGAGCCUAAUACAUCGGAACAUCUCCUGUAGUGGGGGAUAGCCCGGCCAAUGCCGGAUUAUACCGCAUACUAUAUACGGAUGAAAGCGGGGGACCUUCGGGCCUCGCUCUAUAGGGUUCGCCUAUGGCUUAUUAUCUAAUUCGCUGGGGUAAACGCCUACCAAGGCCUACCAUCAACAUCUGGUCUUAGAAGACCACCACCCACAAUGGGACUGAAACGCCGCCCACUACUCCUACCGGACGGCAGCAAGUGGGGAAUUUGGGACAAUUUGGGCGAAAGCCUGAUCACUCAAUGGCCUCGCGUGUUGAAGGAACGACAUUCCUGGGUGUAAAAGCACUUUUGUCCGGAAGAAAUCCUUGGCUUUAAUAACAGUCGGGGGAUGACGGUACCCGGAAGAAUAAGCACCCGACUAAACUACGUUGCCAGCAGCCGUCGGUAAUACGUAGGGUGCGAGCGUUAAAUCGGGAAUUUACUGGGCGUAAAGCGUGCGCAGGCGGUUUGCUAAGGACCCGAUGUGAAAUCCCCGGGCUCAACCUGGGAACUGCAUUGGUGACUGGCAGGCUAGAGUAUGGCAGAGGGGGGGUAGAAAUUCCACGUGUAGCAGUGAAAAUGCGUAGAGAUGUGGAGGAAUACCGAUGGCGAAGGCAGCCCCCUGGGCCAAUACUGACACUUCACAUCUGACUUAACGAAACCGCCUGCGUGAGCAAACAGGAUUAGAUACCCUGGUAGUCCACGCCCUAAACGAUGUCAACUAGUUGUUGGGGAUUCAUUUCCUUAGUAACGUAGCUAACGCGUGAAGUUGACCGCCUGGGGAGUACGGUCGCAAGAUUAAAACUCAAAGGAAUUGACGGGGACCCGCACAAGCGGUGGAUGAUGUGGAUUAAUUCGAUGCAACGCGAAAAACCUUACCUACCCUUGACAUGGUCGGAAUCCCGCUGAGAGGUGGGAGUGCUCGAAAGAGAACCGGCGCACAGGUGCUGCAUGGCUGUCGUCAGCUCGUGUCGUGAGAUGUUGGGUUAAGUCCCGCAACGAGCGCAACCCUUGUCCUUAGUUGCUACGCAAGAGCACUCUAAGGAAACUGCCGGUGACAAACCGGAGGAAGGUGGGGAUGACGUCAAGUCCUCAUGGCCCUUAUCGGUAGGGCUAUCACCCACGUACAGGACAAUGGUCCGAUGUAUUACACACCCGUUCGCCAACCCGUCAGCAAAGGAAGCUAAGCUUCUUCCAGAAAACCGAUCGUAGUCCGGAUUGCACUCUGCAACUCGAGUGCAUGAAGCUGGAAUCGCUAG